GCCCAGAUGGUGGAAUUGGUAGACACGCCGGCCUUAGAAGCCGGUGUCGCAAGAUGUGAGAGUUCGAGUCUCUCUCUGGGCACCA
RNAcentral lists this transfer RNA (85 nucleotides) under Candidatus Peribacteria bacterium. RNAcentral's name for it is "tRNA-Leu". It matches the Rfam family "tRNA". Rfam says of the family: Transfer RNA (tRNA) molecules are approximately 80 nucleotides in length. Their secondary structure includes four short double-helical elements and three loops (D, anti-codon, and T loops). The record is from RNAcentral. Lineage: Bacteria; Candidatus Peregrinibacteriota; Candidatus Peribacteria.